AGAGUUUGAUCAUGGCUCAGGACGAACGCUGGCGGCGUGCCUAACACAUGCAAGUCGAACGAGUGGAUCUCCUUCGGGAGAGAAGCUAGCGGCGGACGGGUGAGUAACACGUGGGCAACCUGCCUCAUAGAGGGGAAUAGCCUCCCGAAAGGGAGAUUAAUACCGCAUAAGAUUGUAGCUUCGCAUGAAGUAGCAAUUAAAGGAGCAAUCCGCUAUGAGAUGGGCCCGCGGCGCAUUAGCUAGUUGGUGGGGUAACGGCUCACCAAGGCGACGAUGCGUAGCCGACCUGAGAGGGUGAUCGGCCACAUUGGGACUGAGACACGGCCCAGACUCCUACGGGAGGCAGCAGUGGGGAAUAUUGCACAAUGGGGGAAACCCUGAUGCAGCAACGCCGCGUGAGUGAUGACGGCCUUCGGGUUGUAAAGCUCUGUCUUCAGGGACGAUAAUGACGGUACCUGAGGAGGAAGCCACGGCUAACUACGUGCCAGCAGCCGCAGUAAUACGUAGGUGGCGAGCGUUGUCCGGAUUUACUGGGCGUAAAGGGAGCGUAGGCGGACUUUUAAGUGAGAUGUGAAAUACCCGGGCUCAACUUGGGUGCUGCAUUUCAAACUGGAAGUCUAGAGUGCAGGAGAGGAGAAUGGAAUUCCUAGUGUAGCGGUGAAAUGCGUAGAGAUUAGGAAGAACACCAGUGGCGAAGGCGAUUCUCUGGACUGUAACUGACGCUGAGGCUCGAAAGCGUGGGGAGCAAACAGGAUUAGAUACCCUGUAGUCCACGCCGUAAACGAUGAAUACUAGGUGUAGGGGUUGUCAUGACCUCUGUGCCGCCGCUAACGCAUUAAGUAUUCCGCCUGGGGAGUACGGUCGCAAGAUUAAAACUCAAAGGAAUUGACGG
RNAcentral lists this ribosomal RNA (892 nucleotides) under uncultured bacterium. RNAcentral's name for it is "bacterial SSU rRNA". It matches the Rfam family "Bacterial small subunit ribosomal RNA", at positions 8 to 916 of the family's 1533-position model. The record is from RNAcentral.